RNAcentral lists this ribosomal RNA (462 nucleotides) under uncultured bacterium. RNAcentral's name for it is "bacterial SSU rRNA". It matches the Rfam family "Bacterial small subunit ribosomal RNA", at positions 1 to 507 of the family's 1533-position model. The record is from RNAcentral.
CAGUAGUCACGAGUUUGAUCCUGGCUCAGAACGAGCGCUGGCGGCAUGCCUAACACAUGCAAGUCGAACGAGACCUUCGGGUCUAGUGGCGCACGGGUGCGUAACGCGUGGGAACCUGCCUUUAGGUUCGGAAUAACUCAGAGAAAUUUGAGCUAAUACCGGAUAAUGUCUUCGGACCAAAGAUUUAUCGCCUUUAGAUGGGCCCGCGUUGGAUUAGCUAGUUGGUGGGGUAAAGGCCUACCAAGGCGACGAUCCAUAGCUGGUCUGAGAGGAUGAUCAGCCACACUGGGACUGAGACACGGCCCAGACUCCUACGGGAGGCAGCAGUGGGGAAUAUUGGACAAUGGGCGAAAGCCUGAUCCAGCAAUGCCGCGUGAGUGAUGAAGGCCUUAGGGUUGUAAAGCUCUUUUACCCGAGAUGAUAAUGACAGUAUCGGGAGAAUAAGCUCCGGCUAACUCCGUG